RNAcentral lists this unclassified non-coding RNA (333 nucleotides) under soil metagenome. RNAcentral describes it as "partial contains 5.8S ribosomal RNA, internal transcribed spacer 2, and large subunit ribosomal RNA". The stretch from base 1 to 121 matches the Rfam family "5.8S ribosomal RNA", at positions 35 to 154 of the family's 154-position model. The record is from RNAcentral.
GAUGAAGAACGUAGCGAAAUGCGAUAAGUAAUGCGAAUUGCAGAAUUUCCGUGAGUCAUCGAAUCUUUGAACGCACAUUGCGCCCGCCAGUAUUCUGGCGGGCAUGCCUGUUCGAGCGACAUUUCAACCCUCAAGCACAGCUUGGUGUUGGGACUCGCGUUAAUUCGCGUUCCCCAAAUUGAUUGGCGGUCACGUCGAGCUUCCAUAGCGUAGUAGUAAAACCCUCGUUACUGGUAAUCGUCGCGGCCACGCCGUUAAACCCCAACUUCUGAAUGUUGACCUCGGAUCAGGUAGGAAUACCCGCUGAACUUAAGCAUAUCAAUAAGCGGAGGA